Molecule: unclassified non-coding RNA, 365 nt
Filed under: Lavandula dentata
Lineage: Eukaryota; Viridiplantae; Streptophyta; Magnoliopsida; Lamiales; Lamiaceae
Description: partial external transcribed spacer
Source: RNAcentral
GCAGCGACGGCACCUCUUGCUCGCCUCUUCAGUUGUCGGAACAAGCAACGCUUGUCCGCAGUCGGUUAUCCUGUGCUGAAUACCUAUCGUGAGGGCAUUACGUCGGCUAAAACGAUUGCAUCACCGGCCUGCGACGCUGCCCCCCGUGGGCGUGCGGCGCGGGACGGUCACCAAGGCACCCUCCGUGUUUCGCACCUCUUUCGCCUUCACCGGCGUUCGGGUUGACGACGCACAGAGGGAUGCUCGUUAUCUCGGGGACGGAAAAUCUUGUGGGUACGAGGCCUCGGCCUCCGAUCACCACGAAAAUGCGUUCUACGCUCAUUGCGGACGACGGUUGGCUCGGCCUGCGGUCUUGCACUCGCUGC